RNAcentral lists this long non-coding RNA (1207 nucleotides) under Citrus x clementina. RNAcentral describes it as "Citrus clementina (C. clementina) long non-coding RNA (CCLE_LNC002008)". Lineage: Eukaryota; Viridiplantae; Streptophyta; Magnoliopsida; Sapindales; Rutaceae. The record is from RNAcentral.
AUAAGUAAUUAAUCAAGCAAAUAAACAACAGACCGAAAUGAGGUAUAUAUAUGCGAUAAACAGACCAAAAAAAAAAAAAAAAACAGAUAUUUCCCGUGAGAUAUUUGUGAGUUGAUCUUGGAAAAGAAAUGGUAACAGAUCACAAGAUCAGAGUUGGUGGUGAUCAUGAGGACGAGGAUACUGACGCAUGUGCAUGGCACGGCAUAAUUAACCAAAAAAAAUGUUAAUUUUGUAUUAAUUAUUUAUUGAAAGGUCCGAAUAAGACUGUGUUAUGUUAGUUUAAUUUUAAGAGAUCUUUCAAAAUUAGACCGUAAAUUACACCAAUAGAAAACAGUCGUAUUUGGUAAUUAAUUAAUACCAAUUAACUUUUGUUUUGGUUUAUUUUGUGUUAGUAUAAUUUGAUAACGUUGGACUUGGUUUGAUUAAAUUUUGUUGAAAACAUCAAAUCCUGAAACCCCGUGUUCUGAAAAUACGGUUGUCAUUCAUUAGAAGAAUCCAAUUCGGCUACAUGUUGCUAAAUUGUUUUUAUCUCAGGAAUCGAAAUUUUUUAAUUUGCUACAGACGGUGACAGGUUACCUCACCUGACACGUGUACGCACGUGUUACUUGUUAAAGAAAAAGUGAUUUGGAAUCGAAGGCAUGUGAUCACUGUGUCAGUUUCUUGUUACUGUAUAUUCAAACAAUUUAAGCAAUGUAUCUUUUCCAGGAAUUAAUUCGGAAAAUGUGGCGUAAUUCGAUACAUGCACAUAAGAGUAUGCUCUUUGAUUUAUAUAUUCUGAACUUUCUUGUACUGAUUCAAAUUGAGGUAGCAAUGAAACCAGAAAUGAGGCAUCAUGUCUCGAGUACGUUAUGAAAGUCCCAUGGAUUGUUGAACCAAUUUUUGGGUUUUUUUUUAGUGCUGAAAAUGGCAUUCAAGCAACCAGUUUGGGCUUACUUUAAUUAUUUUCUUAAUACAAUGACGAUUCUCAAUCAAUCACAUUUACUAGAAAAAUCGAACAAUUCUUGAAUGUGAGGGACCAUUGGACGAUGCUUAAUUAAUUUAUGUGAUUUUAAUUUGUUGACAGCGGUUCUAGCUCCAUAUCGAUGGAGCCCAUCCGUUGUGAUGUACGUAGCCGCUGUCAUCUUCUUAGGUGAUGUUUGGUUGGGAGAAGAGAAUGGGAAAAAGGAAAGUAAUUUAAAUUCUAUUUUUAUUUUCAUUGUUUGGUUAC